This 253-nucleotide ribosomal RNA is filed under the name uncultured bacterium. RNAcentral describes it as "partial 16S ribosomal RNA". It matches the Rfam family "Bacterial small subunit ribosomal RNA", at positions 524 to 776 of the family's 1533-position model. The record is from RNAcentral.
UACGUAGGGUGCAAGCGUUGUCCGGAUUCAUUGGGCGUAAAGGGCGCGUAGGCGGGCGGUCAAGUCCGGGGUGAAAGCCCCCAGCUCAACUGGGGAAGUGCCUCGGAUACUGGUCGCCUCGAGGGAGAUAGGGGCGUGCGGAACUUCCGGUGGAGCGGUGAAAUGCGCAGAUAUCGGAAGGAACACCGGUGGCGAAAGCGGCGCGCUGGAUCUCUUCUGACGCUGAGGCGCGAAAGCCAGGGGAGCGAACGGG